This 402-nucleotide ribosomal RNA is filed under the name uncultured bacterium. Its description in RNAcentral is "bacterial SSU rRNA". It matches the Rfam family "Bacterial small subunit ribosomal RNA", at positions 355 to 774 of the family's 1533-position model. The record is from RNAcentral.
UCGGGAAUUUUGCUCAAUGGGCGCAAGCCUGAAGCAGCAACGCCGCGUGAGGGAUGAAGGCCUUCGGGUUGUAAACCUCUUUUCUCAGGGACGAUGAUGACGGUACCUGAGGAAUAAGUCACGGCUAACUACGUGCCAGCAGCCGCGGUAAUACGUAGGUGACCAGCGUUGUCCGGAUUUACUGGGCGUAAAGAGCGCGCAGGCGGUCGUUCAAGUCGAGUGCGAAAGCCCCCGGCUCAACUGGGGAGGGUCACUCGAUACUGAUCGACUUGAAGGCAGGAGAGGGAAGCGGAAUUCCCGGUGUAGUGGUGAAAUGCGUAGAUAUCGGGAGGAACACCAGUGGCGAAGGCGGCUUCCUGGCCUGUUCUUGACGCUGAGGCGCGAAAGCUAGGGGAGCAAACG